This 4178-nucleotide long non-coding RNA is filed under the name Olea europaea subsp. europaea. The record is from RNAcentral. Lineage: Eukaryota; Viridiplantae; Streptophyta; Magnoliopsida; Lamiales; Oleaceae.
AAGAAAUAAAGUUGCUAGUCCCAUAACCUAGCCUUAUUUUUCAAACCAACCCAACAGAGACCAUUUACAGCCUCCGGGAUCUUCCCAAAAUUUAGCCCCAAAUCGCUCGACCUAGAGCUACCAUUGUCCGACACCGGCAACGGCCUUGCAGGCAGUCGCAACCAAAAAAUCCAUCGGUCUAGCCUUUAAGCGAUUAAGUAAGUUGGAGUUCCAAGCAAAAAAGGAGAAGGGGCUUUGCUUUAAAUGUGAUGAAAUAUAUUCCAUUAGACAUAGGUGCUGGAACAAGGAGUUGCACGUCAUGGUAAUCUUGGAGGAAGAAAUACAGAAGGAAAUAGAAUAGAUGGGGAAAGAUUUGUAGGAACCAGAGGAGAACGAAGUGGAAGAGGUAGUGGAACUUUCAAUCAAUUCAGUUGUAGGGUUGACAUCUCCUCAAACAAUGAAGGUUAAGGGACUAAUUGGGAAUCAGGAAGUAGUAGUGUUGAUAAAUAGUGGAGCCACUCAUAAUUUUAUUUCAAUCGAGCUGGUUCAAAAAUUGGGGUUACCUAGGGUGGACACAUCAGGGUAUGGAGUAAUCAUGGGUACAUGAUUUGCAGCGGAAGGAGCAGGUAUAGGUAAAGGGGUGACCCUCGCUCUGCAGAAAUUGGAAAUCACUGAAGAUUUCCUUCCCCUGGAGCUGAGAAGUUCAGAUGUGAUCCUCGAUAUGAAGUGGUUUUCAUCUCUUGGAAAAAUGUCGGUGGGAAAGUUGUUAACGAUGCGCUUCCAAGUAGGGGGGAACAAAUGUCAGGCUACAUGGGGAUCCUAGCCUUACCAAGUCGCUCGUGAGUUUAAAGUCAAUGAUGAAGGCGUUUUGGAAGGGUGGAGAAUAGGUUUUAUUAAAGCUGGGGAAUCUGUCUAUAGAGGUAAAUACUUCAUAGCCGGAGGUACCAAAGGAGCUGGAGCGGGUGUUGAGGGAGUUUGAUAGGAUUUUCCAAGAGUCAAAGGGGUCACCACUCCAUUGUGAAAGGGAUAAUUCCAUAGUACUAUAGGCAGGAACAGCUCCGAUAAGUAUUCGACCAUACCAUUACCCUUACAGUCGAAAGAAUGAGAUUGAAAAAUUAGUUUGAGAGAUGUUGGCAACAGUAUAAUUAGGCCGAGCACAAGUCCAUUUUCUAGUUCAGCUCUGUUCGUCAAAAAGAAAGAUGGGGGUAGCGCUUCUGCAUGGAUUACAGGGCAUUGAAUAAAGUAACAAUACCGGAUAAAUUUUCGAUUCUAGUCAUAGAGGAAUUACUAAAUGAAUUACAUGGGGUCAUGAUUUUUUCAAAGUUAGACUUGAAGGUGGGAUACCAUCAGAUUAGGGUACCUCCUCAUGAUAUUUCAAAAAUGGCCCUCAUAACUCAUGAAGGACAUUAUGAGUUCUUACUUAUGCAUUUCGGAUUGACCAAUGCACCGGUGACAUUCCAAGCAUUGAUGAAUGAAAUCUUUAAAGAGAGGUUACGAAAAUCUGUAUUAGUUAGUUUGUUUGUUUUUUUUUAUGAUAUCCUAGUAUAUAGUCGGGAUAUGGAGCAGCACCAAGGGCACUUGAGGUGGGUUUUUGGGGUUCUUAAAAAGAAUCAAUUGUACUUAAAUGGGAAGAAAUGUGUAUUUGGCCAACGAGAAGUGGAGUACUUAGGUCAUGUCAUGUCACAGCAAGGUGUGGCAGUGGAUGAGGCGAAGGGGAGGGUCGUUACGGGAGCUCUGCGGGUUCCUUGGGCUGACCAAUAUUAUAGGAGGUUUGUGAAGGACUAUGGUAAAAUUGCAUGGUCCCUAACUAAAAGAUUGAAGAAGAAGAAUUUCUACUCAGACGAAGUAGCAGAACAAGCAGGAAUUAAAGGAGAAAAUGAUGACCUUACUAGUUCUGGGGCUGCUCGAUUUUACAAAAACAUUUGCAGUUGAGUCGGACGCUUUAGGACAUAGAUUAGGAGCAGUAUUGAUGCAGGAGCACAGGUCAAUUGCCUUUUUCAGUCAAGCACUUAAUCAGAAAGGCAGAGCAAAGUCCGUUAAUGAGAGGGAGUUGAUGGCUAUAAUCUUUGCAGUACACAAGUGGCGCCAUUAUUUGCUGGUUCACCAAUUCAUAGUUCUGACAUAUUAGAAAAGUUUGAAAUUUCUAUUGGAAUAGAGGGUAGUAACUCCAAAAUAUAAAAAAUGGUUGAUGAAGCUUAUGGGAUAUCAGUUUGAAAUUCAGUACAAGCCAGCAUUGGAGAAUAAGGCAGCCGAUGCUCUUUCUCGAGUUAACCAUCUUCCAUCAUUGAUGACCUUGUCACUAAUUGUUGUUGUUCAAUUGGAAUAGCUUAACAGAGAAGUCGAAGCAGAUGAUAAGUUAAGGAAAAUUGUGGAUGAGUUGAGGGCAAAUCCUUCUAAGUGGCCGGAUUAUUUUGUGAAAGAAGGGCAGUUACUUUACAAAGAUAGGCUGGUUCUUCCCAAAGGGUCUACUUUAAUUCAGCUGGUUAUGCAACAAGGGCAUGAUGGUAGUUUGAGAGGGCAUUCUGGAUUUCUCAAAACAUAUAAGCGGAUUUCCAUGAAUAUAUACUGGGCAGGAAUGAAGAAAGAUAUUCAUCGCUAGUCAAGAAUUGCACUGUUUGUCAACAAAAUAAAUAUGAAGCUUUAUCCCUGGGAGGAUUGUUACAACUACUGGCCAUUCCUAAUCAAGUAUAGGAAGACAUAACUAUAGAUUUUAUGGAAAGCUUAUCAAGGUCACGAGGCUGGAAUACCAUAUUGGUAGUGGUGGAUAGGCUAAGCAAGUAUGCCCAUUUUGUACCUUCGAAGCACCCAUUUUUAGCAGCCUUGGUGGCUGGGUUUUUUGUGAAGGAAAUUGUUCGCCUCCAUGGAAUUCUGCGGUUUAUUAUCUCGGACUGGGAUAAAAUUUUUAUGAGUAGGUUUUGGAAGAAGUUUUUUAAACUACAAGGUACAAAACUCUGCCACAGCACCUUAUAUCAUCUACAAUCCUAUGGGUAGUCUAAGGUAGUGAACUGCACAUUGGAGACCUAUCUCCUCUGUUUUGCGGUUUCCAUGGGUAGAAUUAUGGUAUAAUACCUCCUACCACACAGCUUCCAGACUGACACCCUUCCAAUGCUUGUAUGGAAGGAAACCACCCUUAUUGUUAGGGUUCAAAAAGGGGUCUACUCCUUUUUCAGUUGUGGAACAACAAUUGUUGGAAAGAGAUCAGAUGAUAGAAGAGUUGAAACAUUAGUUGAUAAGGACUCAAGCUCACAUGAAACGGAUAGCUGAUGCAAAGAGAAGGGAUGUUCAAUUCAACAUAGGGGACGGGUAUAUUUGAAGAUACAUCCCUAUCGACACAAGUCAUUGUCGUCAAGGCCAAAUGAAAAGUUAUCCCCAAGAUUUCAUGGGCCAUACCUAAUUGAGAAAAAAAUUGGAUGGGUAUCUUACAAACUGUCACUGCCCUCAACCUGCCCUAUUCAUCCUGUCUUUCAUGUGUCUCAACUACAAAAAGUCAAAGGUCAAUCUCAGGUAGUGAUGAAUAUCCCGAGCCACUUGACUAAAGAAAUGGAGUUGUUGGUAGAACCGGAAGCAGUGUUGGGAAUUUGACCAAGGAGAGGAAAUAACAUCAGGAGUCUGAAAGUACUGGUUUAAUGGAAAGGGUUACCACCCUUAGAAGCCACAUGGGAACCAUUGGAAAUGUUAAGGAAUUAGUUCCCAUAUUUCCAUCUCGAGGACAACGUAAGUCUUGUGGGACAGAGUAAUGAUAAGCCGCCGAUUCAAAUUCAGUAUUCCCGACAAAAGAAGAAGUCAGGGGCAGAAAAAGGAGACAAAAAAAAAAAUGAAAGUUCCAUGCACAUGGGCAAAACAAAUUCACUUGGGUAAGCUGUUAUGGAGUCUGGUGUAUAUAAGUCGAAAGAAAUUGGGAGAAGGGCAGCAAGCAAGUGGAAAUCUCUAGUAGGAGAGUUUGGACCUCUCGAAAGUCCCUUUGUUUUCUCUUUCAUUUCCUUUAAGCAUUCUGCAUUCAUUGUCGGUUGUAUUCAUCCAGUUUAUUAUCAAGGAAACAUUCUUCUUCUUCUUCUUUAUUAUCAUCAUCAUCAUCAUCAUCAAUUUGAGUCCCUUUGUAUUGUGAUAUGGUGUUCAACUAGUAGGGAACUUAUCACCUUCUCGCUUUUACUUUUCUUCCCUACCCUCACUUUUCUAUUUUAUAGUUUCUCUGAAGGUGC